GUGGCUGGGGCUCAGUGGCAGAGCGCUUGCCUAGCAUGUGUGAGGCACUAGGUUCAAUCCUUAGCACCACG
RNAcentral lists this transfer RNA (71 nucleotides) under Marmota monax (woodchuck). RNAcentral's name for it is "tRNA.Ala". Lineage: Eukaryota; Metazoa; Chordata; Mammalia; Rodentia; Sciuridae. The record is from RNAcentral.